UACGGGGGGGGCAAGCGUUGUUCGGAAUCACUGGGCGUAAAGCGUGCGUAGGCUGCUCGGAAAGUUGGGAGUGAAAGCCCAGGGCUCAACCCUGGAAUUGCUCUCAAAACUACCGAGCUCGGAUUCGGGAGAGGAUAGCGGAAUUGUCAGUGUAGCAGUGAAAUGCGUAGAUAUUGACAGGAACACCAGUGGCGCAAGCGGCUAUCUGGACCGACAUCGACGCUGAGGCACGAAAGCGUGGGGAUCAAACAGG
This 253-nucleotide ribosomal RNA is filed under the name uncultured bacterium. RNAcentral describes it as "partial 16S ribosomal RNA". It matches the Rfam family "Bacterial small subunit ribosomal RNA", at positions 524 to 776 of the family's 1533-position model. The record is from RNAcentral.